Molecule: non-coding RNA, 107 nt
Organism: Mucidula mucida
Lineage: Eukaryota; Fungi; Basidiomycota; Agaricomycetes; Agaricales; Physalacriaceae
Source: the annotation of a GenBank genome assembly
GGCAAGAUGGCCGAGCGGUUAAGGCGUGUGACUCAAGCGUACCAGCUUGCCUGGUUCAGGUUUCUCAUCUCCGUAUGGAGGCGUGGGUUCAAGUCCCACUCUUGUCA